UACCCUUCUUAACGAACAGCUAUCAUUUUAUUAAGUUAAUGUGGUAGUCUAUCGUUCUUUACUUUGAGAAAAUUAGAGUGUCAAAGCAGGUUUUUGCCCGAAUAUUACUCUUGGAAUAAUACUAUAGGACUUUAGACUUAUUUGAUGGUGAGUAGGACUGAGGUAAUGAUUGAUAGGGACGGUUGGGGUCAUUCGUACUGUAAAGCGAGCGGUGAAAUGCUUGGACCUUUAUAUGACGACCUACUGCGAAAGCAUUUGACUAGGACGUUCCCGUUGAUCAAGAACGAAAGUUGGGGGAUCGAAGACGAUCAGAUACCGUCGUAGUCUCAACCAUAAACUAUGCCAGCUAGGGAUUGGAAGUCGAUCUUAUUUAUGACACUUUCAGCACCUUAUGAGAAAUCAAAGCAUUUGGGUUCCGGGGGGAGUAUGGUCGCAAGGCUGAAACUUAAAGGAAUUGACGGGAGGGCACCACCAGGAGUGGAGCCUGCGGCUUAAUUUGAUUCAACACGGGAAAACUUACCAGGUCCGGACAAAGUAAGGAUUGACAGAUUGAAAGCUCUUUCUUGAUUCUUUGGGUGGUGGUGCAUGGCCGUUCUUAGUUGGUGGAGUGAUUUGUCUGGUUAAUUCCGUUAACGAACGAGACCUCAGCCUGCUAAAUAGUGUUUUCAUCUUUGGAUGCUUAUACUUCUUAGAGGGACUACUUAUGCUAUAACUGAGCGGAAGCUUGAGGCAAUAACAGGUCUGUGAUGCCCUUAGAUGUUCUGGGCCGCACGCGGGCUACACUGGUGAUCUCAACAAGCCUUCACUUGGUUGAAAAGCCAGGUUAAUCUUUGAAAUAUCACCGUGCUUGGGAUAGACUAUUGCAAUUUUUAGUCUUCAACGAGGAAUUCCUAGUAAACGCGAGUCAUCAGCUCGCAUUGAUUACGUCCCUGCCCUUUGUACACACCGCCCGUCGCUCCUACCGAUUGGAUGAUUCGGUAAGCAUUUGAGAUCUGGUCUGACUCUCCUAACGGAGCUUCUGACUGGAGAACUUAUCAAACCUAAUCA
Molecule: ribosomal RNA, 1047 nt
Filed under: uncultured acantharean
Lineage: Eukaryota; Acantharea
Description: SSU rRNA
Rfam family: Eukaryotic small subunit ribosomal RNA
Source: RNAcentral